UGGUGGAGUGAUUUGUCUGGUUAAUUCCGUUAACGAACGAGACCUUAACCUACUAAAUAGUCCUGCUUUGUAUGCAAAGCGGGGACUUCUUAGAGGGACUAUCGGCUGAUAAACCGGUGGAAGUUUGAGGCAAUAACA
This 138-nucleotide ribosomal RNA is filed under the name uncultured eukaryote. Its description in RNAcentral is "partial 18S ribosomal RNA". It matches the Rfam family "Eukaryotic small subunit ribosomal RNA", at positions 1299 to 1458 of the family's 1831-position model. The record is from RNAcentral.